Molecule: ribosomal RNA, 253 nt
Filed under: uncultured bacterium
Lineage: Bacteria
Description: partial 16S ribosomal RNA
Rfam family: Bacterial small subunit ribosomal RNA
Source: RNAcentral
UACGGGGGGGGCGAGCGUUGUUCGGAAUUAUUGGGCGUAAAGGGAGCGUAGGCGGUGCGGUAAGUCUGGUGUGAAACCUCUGGGCUCAACCCAGAGCUGGCAUCAGAAACUGCCGUGCUAGAGUGCGGGAUAGGAGAGUGGAAUUCCCGGUGUAGCGGUGAAAUGCGUAGAUAUCGGGAGGAACAUCGGUGGCGAAGGCGGCUCUCUGGACCGCAACUGACGCUGAGGCUCGAAAGCUAGGGGAGCAAACAGG